RNAcentral lists this transfer RNA (72 nucleotides) under Camelus bactrianus (Bactrian camel). It matches the Rfam family "tRNA". From Rfam's summary of the family: Transfer RNA (tRNA) molecules are approximately 80 nucleotides in length. Their secondary structure includes four short double-helical elements and three loops (D, anti-codon, and T loops). Further hydrogen bonds mediate the characteristic L-shaped molecular structure. tRNAs have two regions of fundamental functional importance: the anti-codon, which is responsible for specific mRNA codon recognition, and the 3' end, to which the tRNAs corresponding amino acid is attached (by aminoacyl-tRNA synthetases). tRNAs cope with the degeneracy of the genetic code in two manners: having more than one tRNA (with a specific anti-codon) for a particular amino acid; and 'wobble' base-pairing, i.e. permitting non-standard base-pairing at the 3rd anti-codon position. The record is from Rfam by way of RNAcentral. Lineage: Eukaryota; Metazoa; Chordata; Mammalia; Artiodactyla; Camelidae. RNAcentral also lists the same sequence under 3 other names.
GAGGGUAUAGCUCAGUGGCAGAGUGAGUGCUUAGCAUGCACGAGGUCCUGGGUUCAAUCCUCAGUGUACAUU